ACAUAAAAGGUGCUCGCUGUGUGUAUGCAGAGGGGGUGGGUGUAUUCUAAUAACUGAGUGUAAUGUGCUGCCAUCAACAGGAGAGACAGUGUCUGGCAACGAAAACGCACUGCCUGACGUCGUAGCACGGGCGUGGACCCGUGGCGCCCUGGCGGGUGCAUCGUGGAUGGCUGGCAAGCUUGAGCUUUGGGUUGACAGACAGGAACACAAGCUGGUCAACUCUUUCAGGCUUAUGACACGAUGUCUUCCAUGUCGCCAUGUUUCCAAUAGUACCAAAGAUCCGCUCCGACGGAAAACUAGUCGCGGGGAUGCACAGAUAGUUUCUGGCAAGCUUCGCCACCAAUGGAAAGUUGACCUCGUGCUGCCUCCACCAUACGUGAGGAUCCUCCUCAGGAUCCAGGUCAGCUGUCUGCAGGUACAUGGUAAGCUCCAGGUCAAUGGAUGCUCUGCUUGGCUUUGAUGUACCUUGGCAAUUGGGUGCUGCUGUUUUCUUGAAG
Syngnathus acus (greater pipefish) is the source of this 497-nucleotide long non-coding RNA. RefSeq lists it as uncharacterized. The record is from RefSeq and is a predicted model, not a curated record. The transcript is spliced from 3 exons. Lineage: Eukaryota; Metazoa; Chordata; Actinopteri; Syngnathiformes; Syngnathidae.